GACGAACGCUGGCGGCGUGCCUAAUACAUGCAAGUAGAACGCACAGUUUAUACCGUAGCUUGCUACACCAUAAACUGUGAGUUGCGAACGGGUGUGUAACGCGUAGGUAACCUGCCUGGUAGCGGGGGAUAACUAUUGGAAACGAUAGCUAAUACCGCAUAAUAUUGAUUAUUGCAUGAUAAUUGAUUGAAAGAUGCUAUUGCAUCACUACCAGAUGGACCUGCGUUGUAUUAGCUAGUAGGUGAGGUAACGGCUCACCUAGGCGACGAUACAUAGCCGACCUGAGAGGGUGAUCGGCCACACUGGGACUGAGACACGGCCCAGACUCCUACGGGAGGCAGCAGUAGGGAAUCUUCGGCAAUGGACGAAAGUCUGACCGAGCAACGCCGCGUGAGUGAAGAAGGUUUUCGGAUCGUAAAGCUCUGUUGUAAGAGAAGAACGGGUGUGAGAGUGGAAAGUUCACACUGUGACGGUAUCUUACCAGAAAGGGACGGCUAACUACGUG
Molecule: ribosomal RNA, 505 nt
Filed under: uncultured bacterium
Lineage: Bacteria
Description: partial 16S ribosomal RNA
Rfam family: Bacterial small subunit ribosomal RNA
Source: RNAcentral